UUAAUUAUUUUAAAUUUCGUGAUUGCGACGACUUAAUUGAGUAAAUAGAUGCACUAAACGAGGUACUGUACUCUGCUGAAAUGAAAAUUUUAUUGAAAAAAGAUGUUUGGAAAAAUCUUGAAAGCACAGGCGCAAACAAGGAGAUGAGCCUCAAAAAAAGAAAGCCCAAAAAAACGGAAAAAAAACAACUAAACCCUUGCAAAAAGGGAGCAAACAACGCAAAGGAAAGCAACAACCAAAACAACACAAGGAAGAGCAAGCCACCCCUCCGACCAAGGCUGCACAGAGCAGAGCAGCAGAGCCAGAGCAAACUUCACUAGAGCAAAAGUGCCAGAGCAAACAAC
This 344-nucleotide long non-coding RNA is filed under the name Salvia miltiorrhiza (redroot sage). RNAcentral describes it as "long non-coding RNA (SMIL_LNC011566)". The record is from RNAcentral. Lineage: Eukaryota; Viridiplantae; Streptophyta; Magnoliopsida; Lamiales; Lamiaceae.